This 392-nucleotide ribosomal RNA is filed under the name Pachygnatha clercki. Its description in RNAcentral is "partial 28S ribosomal RNA". It matches the Rfam family "Eukaryotic large subunit ribosomal RNA", at positions 77 to 460 of the family's 3401-position model. Lineage: Eukaryota; Metazoa; Arthropoda; Arachnida; Araneae; Tetragnathidae. The record is from RNAcentral.
CCCUGAGUAACRGCGAGCGAAAAGGGAAGAGUCCAGCACCGAAUCCGAWGGGCGAGAGCCCUGAGGAAAUGUGGUGUUUGGGAGCGAGCRACUCUCCGCGCGACCGAGGAGCAAGUCCCCCUGACCGGGGCUCUUUCCCAGAGCGGGUGCGAGGCCCAUAGCUUCUGGAAGCGCGGAGAAGGCAAACUCCUCGGAGUCGGGUUGCUUGGGAGUGCAGCCCUAAGCGGGUGGUAAACUCCACCUAAGACUAAAUACCGCCGUGAGACCGAUAGCAAACAAGUACCGUGAGGGAAAGUUGCAAAGAACUUUGAAGAGAGAGUUCAAGAGUACGUGAAACUGCUCAGAGGGAAACGGGUGGGCCCUCGAAAUCCUAUAGUUCCGAGGAUUCAGAG